GUUAACCUAUUCAGCUUGGUUUCUCUCUCUCUCUCUCUCUCUCUCUCUCUCACACACACACACACACACAGAGAGAGAGAGAGAGAGAGAGAGAGAGAGAGAGGGGCACUCAAAGUUUACACAGCAAC
Molecule: non-coding RNA, 128 nt
Organism: Podarcis lilfordi (Lilford's wall lizard)
Lineage: Eukaryota; Metazoa; Chordata; Lepidosauria; Squamata; Lacertidae
Source: the annotation of a GenBank genome assembly